UUUAAAGAGAGUUUGAUCCUGGCUCAGGACGAACGCUGGCGGCGUGCCUAAUACAUGCAAGUCGAACGAACGGAGGAAGAGCUUGCUCUUCCAAAGUUAGUGG
RNAcentral lists this ribosomal RNA (103 nucleotides) under Listeria monocytogenes. RNAcentral's name for it is "partial 16S ribosomal RNA". It matches the Rfam family "Bacterial small subunit ribosomal RNA", at positions 1 to 98 of the family's 1533-position model. The record is from RNAcentral. Lineage: Bacteria; Bacillati; Bacillota; Bacilli; Caryophanales; Listeriaceae.